RNAcentral lists this ribosomal RNA (301 nucleotides) under uncultured bacterium. RNAcentral describes it as "partial 16S ribosomal RNA". It matches the Rfam family "Bacterial small subunit ribosomal RNA", at positions 509 to 808 of the family's 1533-position model. The record is from RNAcentral.
CAGUCGCCGCGGGAAUACGAGGGGAGCUAGCGUUAUUCGGAAUUACUGGGCGUAAAGCGCACGUAGGCGGCUUUGUAAGUUAGAGGUGAAAGCCCAGAGCUCAACUCUGGAAUUGCCUUUAAGACUGCAUCGCUUGAAUCCAGGAGAGGUGAGUGGAAUUCCGAGUGUAGAGGUGAAAUUCGUAGAUAUUCGGAAGAACACCAGUGGCGAAGGCGGCUCACUGGACUGGUAUUGACGCUGAGGUGCGAAAGCGUGGGGAGCAAACAGGAUUAGAUACCCAGUAGUCCCUGUCUCUUAUACA